UGCAGUCGAGCGAACGGAUAAGGAGCUUGCUCCUUUGAAGUUAGCGGCGGACGGGUGAGUAACACGUGGGUAACCUACCUAUAAGACUGGGAUAACUUCGGGAAACCGGAGCUAAUACCGGAUAACAUUUAGAACCGCAUGGUUCUAAAGUGAAAGAUGGUUUUGCUAUCACUUAUAGAUGGACCCGCGCCGUAUUAGCUAGUUGGUAAGGUAACGGCUUACCAAGGCGACGAUACGUAGCCGACCUGAGAGGGUGAUCGGCCACACUGGAACUGAGACACGGUCCAGACUCCUACGGGAGGCAGCAGUAGGGAAUCUUCCGCAAUGGGCGAAAGCCUGACGGAGCAACGCCGCGUGAGUGAUGAAGGGUUUCGGCUCGUAAAACUCUGUUAUUAGGGAAGAACAAAUGUGUAAGUAACUGUGCACAUCUUGACGGUACCUAAUCAGAAAGCCACGGCUAACUACGUGCCAGCAGCCGCGGUAAUACGUAGGUGGCAAGCGUUAUCCGGAAUUAUUGGGCGUAAAGCGCGCGUAGGCGGUUUCUUAAGUCUGAUGUGAAAGCCCACGGCUCAACCGUGGAGGGUCAUUGGAAACUGGGAAACUUGAGUGCAGAAGAGGAAAGUGGAAUUCCAUGUGUAGCGGUGAAAUGCGCAGAGAUAUGGAGGAACACCAGUGGCGAAGGCGACUUUCUGGUCUGUAACUGACGCUGAUGUGCGAAAGCGUGGGGAUCAAACAGGAUUAGAUACCCUGGUAGUCCACGCCGUAAACGAUGAGUGCUAAGUGUUA
This 786-nucleotide ribosomal RNA is filed under the name Staphylococcus sp. X35-CRBM-E14. Its description in RNAcentral is "bacterial SSU rRNA". It matches the Rfam family "Bacterial small subunit ribosomal RNA", at positions 56 to 825 of the family's 1533-position model. Lineage: Bacteria; Bacillati; Bacillota; Bacilli; Caryophanales; Staphylococcaceae. RNAcentral also lists the same sequence under 4 other names. The record is from RNAcentral.